RNAcentral lists this ribosomal RNA (288 nucleotides) under uncultured bacterium. RNAcentral's name for it is "partial 16S ribosomal RNA". It matches the Rfam family "Bacterial small subunit ribosomal RNA", at positions 69 to 354 of the family's 1533-position model. The record is from RNAcentral.
CGGGGGAGCGUUCGCGCUUCCGCCGGCGACCGGCGCACGGGUGAGUAACACGUAUGGAACCUGCCCGCAGCAGGGGGAUAAUCGGGGGAAACCCCGUCUAAUACCGCGUAACGACCCGGAGGGGCAUCCCUUCGGGUCCAAAGGUUUACCGGCUGCGGAUGGCCAUGCGUCGCAUUAGCUUGUUGGCGGGGUAACGGCCCACCAAGGCUACGAUGCGUAGGGGUUCUGAGAGGAAGGUCCCCCACACUGGUACUGAGACACGGACCAGACUCCUACGGGAGGCAGCAG